Molecule: ribosomal RNA, 472 nt
Filed under: uncultured bacterium
Lineage: Bacteria
Description: partial 16S ribosomal RNA
Rfam family: Bacterial small subunit ribosomal RNA
Source: RNAcentral
GACGAACGCUGGCGGCGUGCUUAACACAUGCAAGUUGAACGGCCCGGCAUGGUAGCUUGCUGAAGUCUCGGGUAGUAGCGGACGGGUGAGCAAUGCAUGAGAAGCUGCCAUUGUGAGAGGGACAACAGUUGGAAACGGCUGCUAAUACCCCAUAUGUCGGAAGGAGAAACGUCGUGAUCCGCCCGAUGAGUUGCUCAUGUCCUAUCAGCUAGUUGGUGAGGUAACGCCUCACCAAGGCGACGACGGGUAGCCGGCCUGAGAGGGUGACCGGCCACACUGGAACUGAGAUACGGUCCAGACGCCUACGGGAGGCAGCAGUGGGGAAUAUUGGGCAAUGGGGGCAACCCUGACCCAGCGACGCCGCGUGAGGGAAGACGGCCUGCGGGUUGUAAACCUCUUUUGUACGGGAAGAAGGACGUGACGGUACCGUGCGAAUAAGUCCCGGCUAACUACGUGCCAGCAGCCGCCGUAA